RNAcentral lists this long non-coding RNA (942 nucleotides) under Salmo salar (Atlantic salmon). RNAcentral's name for it is "lncRNA (ENSSSAG00000115024.1)". The record is from RNAcentral. Lineage: Eukaryota; Metazoa; Chordata; Actinopteri; Salmoniformes; Salmonidae.
CGAAAAACAGUAGGGCUUUUGGAAAGUGGUCAUUCUGAGAACAAUGACACAGGCGUGCGCGUGCAUGUGAAGACUUCUAUUUUCAGUGUUUGAACGAAAACAAGGUCUCCCGGUCGGAAUAUUAUCGCUAUUUUACUAGAAAAAUCGCAUAAAAAUUGAUUUUAAACAGCGUUUGACAUGCUUUGAAGUACGGUAAUGGAAUAUUUUGAAAUUUUUUGUCACGAUAUGCGCCGGCGCGUCACCCUUCGGAUAGUGUCUUGAACGCAAGAACAAAACGCAGCUAUUUGGAUAUAACUAUGGAUUAUUUGGAACCAAAACAACAUUGAGUGUUGAAGUAGAAGUCCUGGGAGUGCAUUCUGACGAAGAACAGCAAAGCAAUACCUGGCUCUACCAAUUCUACCACGGUGAAUCUCCAGGGCUGUACAACUUCCACCGUGUGCAACGCUAUUGAUCAACUGCUGCCCUUAGGGAAGACCAUGAGUGACAUCACCACUGUGAAUUUUACCUGUAAGACAGCCCUUAACACAGCCUGGUCCAUCACACUGAGCCUUGUCCCUCUGCUACUGGGCCUCACCAUCAGCAAAUUAAUCUGAUAUAAACAGAGAUGAACAUAUUGGGACUCAUCUGACAACAUAAUGCAUUGAUUAGAAAAAAGAAAAUGUACAAUGAUUUUCAUGUAUUGUGAAAGAUGUACUUCAAGUGAAAUGAUGCUAUAUGGAAUUUGCCAGAUGAUGCCCUGUUACAUUAUAUAGUGUUCUUGUUUGAUGGAAUAGUUUCCUAUAUACUGUAUUACUCUGCACACUGAGUGAAUAAAACAUUAAGAACACCUUCUCUUUCCACAACAGACUGACCAGGUGAAUCCAGGUGAAAGCUAUGAUCCCUUAUUGAUGUCACUUGUUAAAUCCACGUCAAUCAGUGUAGAUUAAGGGGAGGAUACAGAAG